This 292-nucleotide unclassified non-coding RNA is filed under the name uncultured cyanobacterium. RNAcentral's name for it is "contains 16S-23S intergenic spacer region". Lineage: Bacteria; Bacillati; Cyanobacteriota. The record is from RNAcentral.
GGACUACUAGGGUUUCUAAUCCCUUUCGCUCCCCUAGCUUUCGUCCCUCAGCGUCAGUUGUGGCCCAGUAGAGCGCCUUCGCCACUGGUGUUCUUCCCGAUAUCUACGCAUUUCACCGCUACACCGGGAAUUCCCUCUACCCCUACCACACUCAAGCUCUCCAGUUUCCAUUGCCGAUCCACAGUUGAGCUGUGGGCUUUGACAACAGACUUAAAAAGCCGCCUGCGGACGCUUUACGCCCAAUAAUUCCGGAUAACGCUUGCCUCCUCCGUCUUACCGCGGCGGCUGGCAC